Molecule: ribosomal RNA, 657 nt
Filed under: uncultured Actinomycetes bacterium
Lineage: Bacteria; Bacillati; Actinomycetota; Actinomycetes
Description: bacterial SSU rRNA
Rfam family: Bacterial small subunit ribosomal RNA
Source: RNAcentral
CGCGGCCUAUCAGCUUGUUGGUGGGGUAAUGGCCUACCAAGGCUUUGACGGGUAGCCGGCCUGAGAGGGUGACCGGCCACACUGGGACUGAGACACGGCCCAGACUCCUACGGGAGGCAGCAGUGGGGAAUAUUGGACAAUGGGCGGAAGCCUGAUCCAGCAACGCCGCGUGAGGGAUGACGGCCUUCGGGUUGUAAACCUCUUUCAGCACAGACGAAGCUGUUCCUUUUUGGGGGUGGUGACGGUAUGUGCAGAAGAAGCACCGGCCAACUACGUGCCAGCAGCCGCGGUAAUACGUAGGGUGCGAGCGUUGUCCGGAAUUAUUGGGCGUAAAGGGCUCGUAGGCGGUUUGUCGCGUCGGGAGUGAAAACCAGGGGCUUAACCCCUGGCUUGCUUUCGAUACGGGCAGACUAGAGGUAUGCAGGGGAGAACGGAAUUCCUGGUGUAGUGGUGAAAUGCGCAGAUAUCAGGAGGAACACCGGUGGCGAAGGCGGUUCUCUGGGCAUGUCCUGACGCUGAGGAGCGAAAGUGUGGGGAGCGAACAGGAUUAGAUACCCUGGUAGUCCACACCGUAAACGUUGGGCGCUAGGUGUGGGAUCCAUUCCACGGGUUCCGUGCCGCAGCUAACGCAUUAAGCGCCCCGCCUGGGGAGUACGG